This 1373-nucleotide ribosomal RNA is filed under the name uncultured bacterium. Its description in RNAcentral is "bacterial SSU rRNA". It matches the Rfam family "Bacterial small subunit ribosomal RNA". The record is from RNAcentral.
AGAGUUUGAUCCUGGCUCAGGACGAACGCUGGCGGCGCGCCUAACACAUGCAAGUCGAACGAGAGAUGAGGAGCUUGCUCUUCAAAUCGAGUGGCGAACGGGUGAGUAACGCGUGAGGAACCUGCCUCGAAGAGGGGGACAACAGUUGGAAACGACUGCUAAUACCGCAUAAGCCCACGGCUCGGCAUCGAGCAGAGGGAAAAGGAGCAAUCCGCUUUGAGAUGGCCUCGCGUCCGAUUAGCUAGUUGGUGAGGUAACGGCCCACCAAGGCGACGGUCGGUAGCCGGACUGAGAGGUUGAACGGCCACAUUGGGACUGAGACACGGCCCAGACUCCUACGGGAGGCAGCAGUGGGGAAUAUUGCACAAUGGGGGAAACCCUGAUGCAGCGACGCCGCGUGGAGGAAGAAGGCUUUCGGGUUGUAAACUUCUUUUAUGAGGGACGAAGGAAGUGACGGUACCUCAUGAAUAAGCUCCGGCUAACUACGUGCCAGCAGCCGCGGUAAUACGUAGGGAGCGAGCGUUAUCCGGAUUUACUGGGUGUAAAGGGCGUGUAGGCGGGGAAGCAAGUCAGAUGUGAAAACCAGUGGCUCAACCACUGGCCUGCAUUUGAAACUGUUUUUCUUGAGUGAUGGAGAGGCAGGCGGAAUUCCGUGUGUAGCGGUGAAAUGCGUAGAUAUACGGAGGAACACCAGUGGCGAAGGCGGCCUGCUGGACAUUAACUGACGCUGAGGCUCGAAAGUGUGGGUAGCAAACAGGAUUAGAUACCCUGGUAGUCCACACCGUAAACGAUGAUUACUAGGUGUUGGAGGAUUGACCCCUUCAGUGCCGCAGUUAACACAAUAAGUAAUCCACCUGGGGAGUACGACCGCAAGGUUGAAACUCAAAGGAAUUGACGGGGGCCCGCACAAGCAGUGGAGUAUGUGGUUUAAUUCGACGCAACGCGAAGAACCUUACCAAGUCUUGACAUCCCUUGACGAUGCUGGAAACAGUAUUUCUCUUCGGAGCAAGGAGACAGGUGGUGCAUGGUUGUCGUCAGCUCGUGUCGUGAGAUGUUGGGUUAAGUCCCGCAACGAGCGCAACCCUUAUGGUCAGUUACUACGCAAGAGGACUCUGGCCAGACUGCCGUUGACAAAACGGAGGAAGGUGGGGAUGACGUCAAAUCAUCAUGCCCUUUAUGACUUGGGCUACACACGUACUACAAUGGCGUUAAACAAAGAGAAGCAAGACCGCGAGGUGGAGCAAAACUCAGAAACAACGUCCCAGUUCGGACUGCAGGCUGCAACUCGCCUGCACGAAGUCGGAAUUACUAGUAAUCGUGGAUCAGCAUGCCACGGUGAAUACGUUCCCGGGCCUUGCACACACCGCCCGUCA